Long non-coding RNA from Arvicola amphibius (Eurasian water vole), 1012 nucleotides. RefSeq lists it as uncharacterized. Lineage: Eukaryota; Metazoa; Chordata; Mammalia; Rodentia; Cricetidae. The record is from RefSeq and is a predicted model, not a curated record. The transcript has 4 exons.
AAACGAAGGUGUGGUUUAUACAGAACAUCUGAAGAUCAGCCCUAGCUCUUCCUGGCCGAGUAAUCUGCUCUUUGCAGCUCAGCAAGCGCGAGGUAUGUACGGGCCACACCAGGAUGAAUGGUGGCAUCUAUCCCUGCACGGGACCUCGUGGUCGCUUGACUUCUUCAGGGUUCUGGCAGGCGACUUUGGCUGGCUUCCUAAUGUCCUAACGAUGAAGGCUGGCCAUCUGAACCCGAGAUGAACCGGGACCGAGGCUGGAGUGAAACAGCGUCGGGGGACUCCGUAGGGCAUGCAAAGAGUUCGAACUGGAAUGUCAAUCCCUUGACUCUCACACCACAGGCCCCAGGAUCUCAGUUUAGACUUGCAAUAGUCUCCGAAGAUUUGCGCCAGAAGACAGAUAUAAAUGAACACUUCACCCUCCAAAUAUAACGCUGAAGCCAACACUUGAAAUCGAGGGUGGAAAAAUUGCACUUCCUUCUCAAUGGGUACCUCUUUGCUGGCGAGCAGCGUCAACGUCCUGCAAGAGUUAAAGCAAAGUCACCGGGACAUGAGUUAAGUUUUUAAAAUGCCAUUUACCAUCCCCCCCCCCCAAAAAAAGUCUGCAUGUAGCAGUACAUUUCUCACUUUGUGGAAGUCUUGGAAAGACAUGCUAGUUCUCCAGUUCCGUCAGUAGUGAAAAUGCCUUCACACAGGCCUGUAGCUGAUGACACGGUAGUGAAAGCUUUCCAAACACUAAUUGGAAAUUAAAAAUAAUCUUGACAACACCUCAGAGCAUCAUAACUAUGUUUCAUCACCUUCGACAUUCAUUAUCACUCGCCACACACACAUAUGUUAAUGGAGAAACUGUUUGCGAUUGUCUUCUGGUGCCAUUUCUCUCUUUUAAUCUUGCUGAGUUAUUUUUGGAUGGCGAACACCUUGUGAUUUCAAAUUGUGAUUUUACUCUCGGCUUAUUGCAUAAAACUCCAUGGAAGUCUUAAUUUUUUGGGUGGGAUAUUCUUUAGAGAAUGUUUGA